UUUCCGUAGGUGAACCUGCGGAAGGAUCAUUACUGAGUUAGGGUCUUUAUGGCCCGACCUCCAACCCUUUGUUUAACCUACCAUGUUGCUUUGGCAGGCCCGCUUAGAAAUGGGCCGCCGGAGACCUUUGAGUCUCUGGUCAGUGCCUGCCAGUAGCCUUUCUAAAUUCAUUUAUAACCGUGUCUGAAUAUACAAAGAAAAAUUAAAAUAAAACUUUCAACAACGGAUCUCUUGGUUCUG
This 240-nucleotide unclassified non-coding RNA is filed under the name plant metagenome. RNAcentral describes it as "partial contains small subunit ribosomal RNA, internal transcribed spacer 1, and 5.8S ribosomal RNA". The record is from RNAcentral.